Drosophila kikkawai is the source of this 1416-nucleotide long non-coding RNA. RefSeq lists it as uncharacterized. Lineage: Eukaryota; Metazoa; Arthropoda; Insecta; Diptera; Drosophilidae. The record is from RefSeq and is a predicted model, not a curated record.
CUUCAAAGUUCAAUUUUCCAAGUUUGGCUAUCUAUAUACUACAAAUUCUAUGGAAAACGUUGUCACAUUUCAGUUCAGAUCAAAAUUAUACAGUUUAUGGAAUAAGACUUGCAUCCAUCUGUCUGUUAUAUUUAUGUCUCUCUCCUAUCCUAUCAGUAUCCACCAUAAAAACCAAUAGUGCAUCUCCCCCAAUAUCCCAAUAUCCUUUUCGUACAACUUAUUCUCCUUCGCUCCAGCAAGCCACCGCAAAGACGUACAAAGUUUACUUUGAAUUCAAUGAACCAAGCGAAAUUUGCCUGACAAUUAAACAGCUUGAGAUGCCAGAAAAGCCGAAGAAGUAACAGAGGGAAAUAUUUCAUUCAUUCCACGGCUGGCAAAGGAAAAGUUUAUGCAUCAAAGUUAGUUGUGUGGCGCCCCAAACUUGUGCAGCGAUUUCUGUAAGCGAUGCGAUCCACAAAAAUUGGAUGGAAGGCAAACGAGAUGCAAGGGAGUAGAAACCAAUUGCGAAGUUUUCAGCAGAAAGAUGAGGGAGAACUUUCCAAAGGUAAAUCUGUCUCCAUCUCGCCCUCUUCUACCAUUGUGAAUUUAUGCCUUUUGGCUGCCAGCUAGUCGGCUGCAUAAAAAGCGACACAAAAAUAGCAAAGGUAGGAAAAUGCAGUAGCGCAGAAAUUAAAGAAUAAUAUUUUCUUAGGGCCACCGACGAAAUGCAGGCGAGCGUUAACAGCAAAAAAGCACAAGAUAAACACGAAUCGCAUGAGUCCCGGGGAGAAGGGGAGGAAAAUAGAAAAAGGACUCUUUAAAAACGCAUAAAUUGUCAUUGGAUAUCGAGGGUGGAUUUCAAGACCUUCCACCCACAUCUUUAAGUGUUAUUCUUUGGCAACUAACCCCUAUGAAAGCAGCUGCGGCUGGGGCUGUAAUACGAUAUGUUUACUUAAGAGGAAAAUACGGUGGCCCGAAACAGCUUGCAUAAAUAAGCCAUAAAUGGGAUGAUCAACAACAUUACACGAAAGAGCAUUGGAUAUAAAAUAAAGGAAUAUUUAAAUAACCCGACUAGGGCAUAAAUCUGCAUGCAAACUAAAUGACAACAUGCGUGGCACAAACAACAAUUGCAUCAUCAAGCCGUGACGUUUGACAAAUGAGCCUUAACCUUCCCCCAUUUGGCAGAGUAAAAUAUUGCAAGUACACACACAUCCAGCAGCGUGUGUGUUCAAGGUACAUCAAAUGGGUGUAACAAAAGCAAAAAUGCCAACGGAGCAGUCAGCCAUCAGCAGUUGCUAUCUAGAGAUGGGAAAAAUCUAAUAGUGAUCGAGGAUAAUAUUUUGAAAAGGGGAAUAGAUACUUAAAUAUCUGGAAAAUGAAUGAACUAUAAAGGAGUAGCUUUGUAGCUUUAUGCAAUAUAUAUAAAUCCAGACUUAA